CUACGGGCCGCAGCAGUGGGGAAUAUUGCACAAUGGAGGAAACUCUGAUGCAGCAACGCCGCGUGGAGGAUGACACUUUUCGGAGCGUAAACUCCUUUUAUAUAGGAAGAAGAUGACGGUACUAUAUGAAUAAGCGCCGGCUAACUCCGUGCCAGCAGCCGCGGUAAUACGGAGGGCGCAAGCGUUACUCGGAAUCACUGGGCGUAAAGAGCGUGUAGGCGGAUUAAAAAGUCAGAAGUGAAAUCCUAUAGCUUAACUAUAGAACUGCUUCUGAAACUCUUAAUCUAGAAUAUGGGAGAGGUAGAUGGAAUUUCUGGUGUAGGGGUAAGAUCCGUAGAGAUCAGAAGGAAUACCGAUUGCGAAGGCGAUCUACUAGAACAUUAUUGACGCUGAGAUGCGAAAGCGUGGGGAGCAAACAGGAUUAGAUACCCGGGUAGUC
This 439-nucleotide ribosomal RNA is filed under the name uncultured bacterium. RNAcentral describes it as "partial 16S ribosomal RNA". It matches the Rfam family "Bacterial small subunit ribosomal RNA", at positions 339 to 795 of the family's 1533-position model. The record is from RNAcentral.